This 527-nucleotide ribosomal RNA is filed under the name uncultured bacterium. RNAcentral's name for it is "partial 16S ribosomal RNA". It matches the Rfam family "Bacterial small subunit ribosomal RNA", at positions 355 to 874 of the family's 1533-position model. The record is from RNAcentral.
UGGGGAAUUUUGGACAAUGGGCGCAAGCCUGAUCCAGCCAUGCCGCGUGCGGGAAGAAGGCCUUCGGGUUGUAAACCGCUUUGUCAGGGAAGAAAUCUUCUGAGUUAAUACCUCGGGAGGAUGACGGUACCUGAAGAAUAAGCACCGGCUAACUACGUGCCAGCAGCCGCGGUAAUACGUAGGGUGCAAGCGUUAAUCGGAAUUACUGGGCGUAAAGCGUGCGCAGGCGGUUUUGUAAGACAGAGGUGAAAUCCCCGGGCUCAACCUGGGAACUGCCUUUGUGACUGCAAGGCUUGAGUGCGGCAGAGGGGGAUGGAAUUCCGCGUGUAGCAGUGAAAUGCGUAGAUAUGCGGAGGAACACCGAUGGCGAAGGCAAUCCCCUGGGCCUGCACUGACGCUCAUGCACGAAAGCGUGGGGAGCAAACAGGAUUAGAUAGCCCUGGUAGUCCACGCCCUAAAACGAUGUCAACUGGUUGUUGGGAAGGUUCCUUCUCGGUAACGUAGCUAACGCGUGAAGUUGACCGCCU